This 478-nucleotide unclassified non-coding RNA is filed under the name uncultured Bartonella sp. RNAcentral describes it as "partial 16S-23S ribosomal RNA intergenic spacer". The stretch from base 125 to 198 matches the Rfam family "tRNA". The record is from RNAcentral. Lineage: Bacteria; Pseudomonadati; Pseudomonadota; Alphaproteobacteria; Hyphomicrobiales; Bartonellaceae.
UCCCAAGCCUUCUGGCGAUCUCUUAUAAAGAAAGCCCUCCAUAAUAAAUUGAAAAGGGUCCUUUGGGGAAAAGUUUUCCCUUUGCUAAGAUGAAGCCGGGGAAGGUUUUCCGGUUUAUCCCGGAGGGCUUGUAGCUCAGUUGGUUAGAGCGCGCGCUUGAUAAGCGUGAGGUCGGAGGUUCAAGUCCUCCCAGGCCCACCAAUCAUUCUAUCAAUCUAUAAGCGCUUGUGGAAAUUGCUCAUAGAAAACUUUCUUUAUUCAUUUAUGAAAAAUCUCCUUAUAGAGAGACGCUUUUCCCUUUGGGUUUGAAAAUUCAAAAUUAAAGGUGUUAAAGUGGCUUUAAAGGAAAAGUGACAAAGAAUAAGGAAUAACGAUUUAAGUUAUCCCUUUUUGGUGAUCUUGAUUUGGGUGUUUUGAAUGCGUUAUGUUUUUUAGGGGGGCCGUAGCUCAGCUGGGAGAGCACCUGCUUUGCAAGCAG